Molecule: transfer RNA, 85 nt
Filed under: Magnetospirillum sp.
Lineage: Bacteria; Pseudomonadati; Pseudomonadota; Alphaproteobacteria; Rhodospirillales; Rhodospirillaceae
Also listed under: 2 other names
Description: tRNA-Leu
Rfam family: tRNA
About the family: Transfer RNA (tRNA) molecules are approximately 80 nucleotides in length. Their secondary structure includes four short double-helical elements and three loops (D, anti-codon, and T loops).
Source: RNAcentral
GCGGGCGUGGCGGAACUGGUAGACGCACCAGAUUUAGGUUCUGGCGGUGAAAGCCGUGGGGGUUCAAGUCCCUUCGCCCGCACCA